ACUCAAUAGAUACCCCGGUAGUCCAUGCCGUAAACGUUGGGCACUAGGUGUGGGGGACAUUCCACGUUUUCCGCGCCGUAGCUAAACGCAUUAAGUGCCCCGCCUGGGGAGUACGGCCGCAAGGCUAAAACUCAAAGGAAUUGACGGGGGCCCGCACAAGCGGCGGAGCAUGCGGAUUAAUUCGAUGCAACGCGAAGAACCUUACCAAGGCUUGACAUGGACCAGACCGGGCUGGAAACAGUCCUUCCCCUUGUGGGUUGGUUUACAGGUGGUGCAUGGUUGUCGUCAGCUCGUGUCGUGAGAUGUUGGGUUAAGUCCCGCAACGAGCGCAACCCUCGUUCUAUGUUGCCAGCACGUGAUGGUGGGGACUCAUAGGAGACUGCCGGGGUCAACUCGGAGGAAGGUGGGGACGACGUCAAAUCAUCAUGCCCCUUAUGUCUUGGGCUUCACGCAUGCUACAAUGGCCGGUACAAAGGGUUGCGAUACUGUGAGGUGGAGCUAAUCCCAAAAAGCCGGUCUCAGUUCGGAUUGGGGUCUGCAACUCGACCCC
RNAcentral lists this ribosomal RNA (550 nucleotides) under uncultured bacterium. RNAcentral describes it as "bacterial SSU rRNA". It matches the Rfam family "Bacterial small subunit ribosomal RNA", at positions 772 to 1319 of the family's 1533-position model. The record is from RNAcentral.